RNAcentral lists this long non-coding RNA (833 nucleotides) under Gallus gallus (chicken). The record is from RNAcentral. Lineage: Eukaryota; Metazoa; Chordata; Aves; Galliformes; Phasianidae.
CAGGAGUAGAGGUGAGGCACACAUAAGAGCAGGUCAGAAGGAACAGAGCGGAGGGUAGGCAACUUGUCAGCCAACCUUUCAUGCCAGUUUGUUCAGCCCAGGCAUUCACAGUUGCUAGCGCAGCAGCACGAACGUUAUUCUUACUGUCACCAAGGACUGUGAUGACAGGAAUGCCCAAAUUUUUCACAUGCUGUUUGAUAUUGGGGCCCAUUGCUGUUGCCAGCUGCUGAAGAAUGCUCAGUGUUUGUUGCACCAAGAUUUUAUUGGAGUCAUUGAGACGACUCUUCAAAGCAGCAGGAAGUUCUCCUAUGUUGGGCUGUAUGAACUUGGCAUCAUUAAUGAUGCUUGUCACUUCAUCUAGACCUUCCUUUCGGAUCUUCCAGUUUUUGUCCCCAAUCUUAGCCACUAGUUCAGCUGUGAUCUUAUCACCAAUAUCUGUUCUUGGCAGAAGAUCCACAACAUCAUUCCCAACAUCUUCCUGUUCCUCUUCCUCACCAUCAUCCCCACUUCCUCCACUGUGCCUGGAAAUGCCACGAGUUGGGGCUGGUGCUGUCUGUCCUUGCAUCUUUUCAAAUUCUGCGUCUAUCUGAGAGAGAAGGGCUGGCUUCUCAUCCUCAAAAAACAUUCGCAAAGGAGGUCCCACAUAAAGAUACAUGACUCCCAGCAAGGUAAUGGCAGAAGUCCUUACAGCUGGGUUAGUUGCAGCAAGAGCUGUCUUUACAUUACUGAUGAAAGCUUUGACAUUCAGUCCAGAAAAGCCAAACUCUUUAAUUGCAUUUGAGAGCCAGUUCAAAGUUUCUGACUGAUUUUUAGGGUUCUUUUGAGAGAAAGCC